CCUCUCUCACCAGCCUCUUCCCCUUCACGCGCCUUUGUUUCUGUUCAUUGUUUCUCCUGAGUUUGUUUUUAUUGUUUCUGAUGGAUUGAGUUCAUCAGAUGGAAGUUACAUAACAACGAACAAUUGGCGACUGUGAUCAACAUGCCACGGUGACGUAAAUUCACAGACAUGCACGCCGACCAAAAGCCUCUUAUUUUGCCCUACAUGGAAUCUGAAGUGGAGGGAUGCACUAAUAUUUCCCUUCAACUUGAUAUCCAGAUCCAGCAGGCUCUAUGGUGGCCUUUACUGUGACAGAUCGCUGUGGCUUCUGUAAGAUGCAAAGUUUUUAGUGUGAGAUAAAUAUUUUAAAUUUUGUACGAGGAUGAAAGAAAAAAUAAUUCAAAUGUCAGUUUUGGAACUAAUUAAUACAUAAUAAGGACUUGUUAUGAGAAGGGUAACCCGUUUUAAAUUUCAGUGUUUGUGGCUAUUCAUUAAACUUUUUGAAACAAUGUUUCCUCCUGAGAUGUGAAAUACAAACUUUAAUCUGUAUUCCAAAUCUUACUUCUUUGGUCCGAACACACAGAGCAUGGCAUUGAACUGACUUCUUGAAAUUACACGUCGCACUUAAAUGUCACACCAUCUCGUCUUAAUUUUGCAUGAGAACAAUUGUUUUCACCGCCUCAUGAACCUAUUACCAUGCUGAUAGUUCAUUGACCUGGGUGUUUGCUAGUCAUGCAUUGGUUAACCUUUUAGGCCCUCUGUACAUGUCGUGCUUAAUGCUGAGUAUUAAAGCUGUGUGAGGAGGUAGGUGUGUUUGGGUGACACUGGCCUGUGUCCCAGACAGCCCAGCUUUCCCUGUGGGUGUCCCUGAACAGGCAUCUGUUGUACUCAGACUCAUAUGUUCCUGGCACAAAGUGGCCAGAGAUGACCCAGUACCAGUGAGAGAGAAGUUAUAUCAUGUGGAAAAGUUUGAUCAUAGAGAGCCGAGGUUCCAACCCUCAGCCUUUUCAUUUGGCAUCUCUUUUUCACACCUUCUUAAAUAAAAACAUGAUAUGUGGUUUGUAUCUUUGGCUUCAUUUUCCAUAUUCUUAAACAACAUAAAA
Molecule: long non-coding RNA, 1082 nt
Organism: Labrus mixtus (cuckoo wrasse)
Lineage: Eukaryota; Metazoa; Chordata; Actinopteri; Labriformes; Labridae
Exons: 3
Source: RefSeq, a predicted model, not a curated record